Molecule: ribosomal RNA, 253 nt
Filed under: uncultured bacterium
Lineage: Bacteria
Description: partial 16S ribosomal RNA
Rfam family: Bacterial small subunit ribosomal RNA
Source: RNAcentral
UACGGAGGGGGCUAGCGUUAUUCGGAAUUAUUGGGCGUAAAGGGCGCGUAGGCGGCCCGGUAAGUCAAAGGUGAAAUCCCUCGGCUCAACUGAGGAACUGCCUUUGAAACUGUCGGGCUUGAGGCCGGGAGGGGGUAGCGGAAUUCCGGGUGUAGCGGUGAAAUGCGUAGAUAUCCGGAGGAACACCGGUGGCGAAGGCGGCUUCCUGGACCGACACUGACGCUGAGGCGCGAAAGCUAGGGGAGCAAACGGG